This 253-nucleotide ribosomal RNA is filed under the name uncultured bacterium. Its description in RNAcentral is "partial 16S ribosomal RNA". It matches the Rfam family "Bacterial small subunit ribosomal RNA", at positions 524 to 776 of the family's 1533-position model. The record is from RNAcentral.
UACGUAGGUGACAAGCGUUGUCCGGAUUUACUGGGCGUAAAGAGCGCGCAGGCGGUCGAUCAAGUCGAGUGUGAAAGCCCCCGGCUCAACUGGGGAGGGUCAUUCGAUACUGAUCGACUCGAAGGCAGGAGAGGGUAGUGGAAUUCCCGGUGUAGUGGUGAAAUGCGUAGAUAUCGGGAGGAACACCGGUGGCGAAGGCGGCGACCUGGGUGGAUACUGACGCUGAGGUGCGAAAGCGUGGGGAGCAAACAGG